AACGAACGCUGGCGGCAUGCCUAACACAUGCAAGUCGAACGAGACCUUCGGGUCUAGUGGCGCACGGGUGCGAAACGCGUGGGAACCUGCCCUUAGGUUCGGAAUAACUCCCCGAAAGGGGUGCUAAUACCGGAUAAUGUCUUCGGACCAAAGAUUUAUCGCCUUUGGAUGGGCCCGCGUUGGAUUAGCUAGUUGGUAGGGUAAAAGCCUACCAAGGCGACGAUCCAUAGCUGGUCUGAGAGGAUGAUCAGCCACACUGGGACUGAGACACGGCCCAGACUCCUACGGGAGGCAGCAGUGGGGAAUAUUGGACAAUGGGCGAAAGCCUGAUCCAGCAAUGCCGCGUGAGUGAUGAAGGCCUUAGGGUUGUAAAGCUCUUUUACCCGGGAUGAUAAUGACAGUACCGUGAGAAUAAGCUCCGGCUAACUCCGUG
RNAcentral lists this ribosomal RNA (433 nucleotides) under uncultured bacterium. RNAcentral's name for it is "partial 16S ribosomal RNA". It matches the Rfam family "Bacterial small subunit ribosomal RNA", at positions 29 to 507 of the family's 1533-position model. The record is from RNAcentral.